RNAcentral lists this ribosomal RNA (253 nucleotides) under uncultured bacterium. Its description in RNAcentral is "partial 16S ribosomal RNA". It matches the Rfam family "Bacterial small subunit ribosomal RNA", at positions 524 to 776 of the family's 1533-position model. The record is from RNAcentral.
UACAGAGGGUGCGAGCGUUAAUCGGAAUUACUGGGCGUAAAGCGUGCGUAGACGGUUAUUUAAGUCGGGUGUGAAAGCCCCGGGCUCAACCUGGGAAUUGCAUUCGAGACUGAAUAGCUAGGGUACGGUAGAGGGAAGUGGAAUUUCCGGUGUAGCGGUGAAAUGCGUAGAGAUCCGGAAGAACACCGGAGGCGAAGGCGGCUUGCUGGGCUUGGUCUGACGCUGAGGCGCGAAAGCGUGGGGAGCGAACAGG